Molecule: non-coding RNA, 77 nt
Filed under: unclassified sequences
Description: S15-Methanomicrobia ribosomal protein leader
Rfam family: S15-Methanomicrobia ribosomal protein leader
Source: RNAcentral
AGCACUUUUCAGAUGUGCUGACAGAUGUAAGUCCGACGUGCGACACCGCACUGCCUGAAGAAAGGCUUUGGGAUUAC